This 585-nucleotide ribosomal RNA is filed under the name uncultured Lachnospiraceae bacterium. Its description in RNAcentral is "bacterial SSU rRNA". It matches the Rfam family "Bacterial small subunit ribosomal RNA", at positions 38 to 636 of the family's 1533-position model. The record is from RNAcentral. Lineage: Bacteria; Bacillati; Bacillota; Clostridia; Lachnospirales; Lachnospiraceae.
GGCGGCGCGCCUAACACAUGCAAGUCGAACGGAGCUUAGAGAGCUUGCUUUUUAAGCUUAGUGGCGAACGGGUGAGUAACGCGUGAGUAACCUGCCCUAGAGUGGGGGACAACAGUUGGAAACGACUGCUAAUACCGCAUAAGCCCACGGUACCGCAUGGUACUGAGGGAAAAGGAUUUAUUCGCUUUAGGAUGGACUCGCGUCCAAUUAGCUAGUUGGUGAGGUAACGGCCCACCAAGGCGACGAUUGGUAGCCGGACUGAGAGGUUGAACGGCCACAUUGGGACUGAGACACGGCCCAGACUCCUACGGGAGGCAGCAGUGGGGGAUAUUGCACAAUGGGGGAAACCCUGAUGCAGCGACGCCGCGUGGAGGAAGAAGGUUUUCGGAUUGUAAACUCCUGUCGUUAGGGACGAUAAUGACGGUACCUAACAAGAAAGCACCGGCUAACUACGUGCCAGCAGCCGCGGUAAAACGUAGGGUGCAAGCGUUGUCCGGAAUUACUGGGUGUAAAGGGAGCGCAGGCGGGAAGACAAGUUGGAAGUGAAAACCAUGGGCUCAACCCAUGAAUUGCUUUCAAAACUGU